This 484-nucleotide ribosomal RNA is filed under the name uncultured Pseudonocardia sp. RNAcentral's name for it is "bacterial SSU rRNA". It matches the Rfam family "Bacterial small subunit ribosomal RNA", at positions 116 to 614 of the family's 1533-position model. Lineage: Bacteria; Bacillati; Actinomycetota; Actinomycetes; Pseudonocardiales; Pseudonocardiaceae. The record is from RNAcentral.
CGUGGGUGACCUGCCCCCUACUCUGGGAUAAGCCUGGGAAACUGGGUCUAAUACUGGAUAUGACUUCGCAUCGCAUGGUGUGGGGUGGAAAGUUUUUUCGGUGGGGGAUGGGCCCGCGGCCUAUCAGCUUGUUGGUGGGGUGAUGGCCUACCAAGGCGACGACGGGUAGCCGGCCUGAGAGGGCGACCGGCCACACUGGGACUGAGACACGGCCCAGACUCCUACGGGAGGCAGCAGUGGGGAAUAUUGCGCAAUGGGCGGAAGCCUGACGCAGCGACGCCGCGUGGGGGAUGACGGCCUUCGGGUUGUAAACCUCUUUCGGCCCCGACGAAGCGUGAGUGACGGUAGGGGUAGAAGAAGCACCGGCCAACUACGUGCCAGCAGCCGCGGUAAUACGUAGGGUGCGAGCGUUGUCCGGAAUUAUUGGGCGUAAAGAGCUCGUAGGCGGUCUGUCGCGUCGAUCGUGAAAACUUGGGGCUUAACC